RNAcentral lists this ribosomal RNA (470 nucleotides) under uncultured bacterium. Its description in RNAcentral is "partial 16S ribosomal RNA". It matches the Rfam family "Bacterial small subunit ribosomal RNA", at positions 28 to 507 of the family's 1533-position model. The record is from RNAcentral.
GACGAACGCUGGCGGCGUGCUUAACACAUGCAAGUCGAACGGUGAACGAGGGAGCUUGCUCCCUCCGGAUCAGUGGCGAACGGGUGAGUAACACGUGAGCAAUCUGCCCCGAACUCUGGGAUAAGCGUUGGAAACGACGUCUAAUACCGGAUACGACGCGGGAGGGCAUCCUCUCCGCGUGGAAAGAACUUCGGUUCGGGAUGAGCUCGCGGCCUAUCAGCUUGUUGGUGAGGUAACGGCUCGCCAAGGCGACGACGGGUAGCCGGCCUGAGAGGGUGACCGGCCACACUGGGACUGAGACACGGCCCAGACUCCUACGGGAGGCAGCAGUGGGGAAUAUUGCACAAUGGGCGCAAGCCUGAUGCAGCAACGCCGCGUGAGGGACGACGGCCUUCGGGUUGUAAACCUCUUUUAGCAGGGAAGAAGCGAAAGUGACGGUACCUGCAGAAAAAGCACCGGCUAACUACGUG